UAAAGUGUGGUGUGGUGCUGACAAAGGUAGGAUGGAUGGGUCACAGGUGCUUUUCUAGAUAGAACUCUCUCUCUUUCUCUAUCUUAUUUUCUCUCAUCAGUCAUCUAUUUCGUAUUGUCUCUCUUUCUACAACCCAUAAACCACCUAACCCUUUAUCUAUCACUUAUUUUCCAUUUCUUAUCUCUCAUAUUAUCUUUUUCUCUGUAACCCAUAAACCACCCCUACUCACUUCAAAACCGAAACCACCCUUCCUUCCACUCAAUCCAAAAUCGAGCCGACACAUCCCUACUCACUCUCUCUUAUUUCAUUUUGCCUUUCUCAUCUGCCUUCACUUAGUCUCAGACUCUCUCUCUUUCUUGGAUUCGAAGCUCAACAGCCACCCAUUGUCUAACAAUCUCACUCUGACGAACUGUUUCCACUCCGGCCACCACCACACCUCACGGCUUCAUCCCCACCUCCGGUUCUCUCCAGUGAUUCUCUUCGUGUUUGAGAUUUCGAAUUAAGGUUAGGGUUUCAAAUUGGGGCUUAGGGUUUCGAAUUAGGGAUCAGGUCAUGAAGAUGACGCAGGUGUCUCUCUUCACUUUAUCUCUCUCUACCAUAAAUCUUCACUGAUUCACUAUCAUUAUGUCUCUAAUUUCAAUUUGGAUUUUUAAUGCACGUUUGGAUGAUUUCAAUUUCAAUCUAGAUGAUUUGGAUUCUAAUGCAGGUUUGGUUUCGGGAAAUUCCAAAAUACCAAAAUUUCGGUUAGGGUCAAUCAUGAGAUUUUCUUCCCGAAAAUUUUCGGUUCGGGAUUUGCUAUGCCACUUUUGGUUCGAUAUCCCAUAUCGAACCAGCCCUAGUAACAACAGUAGUAGUAGGAGUAGUAGUAAUAGUAGUAGUAGUAAUAAUAAUAAUAAUAAUAAUAAUCUCUACUAAUUAAUAAAACACUCAUUGUCAACCAAAACCCUAUGAAAUUAACAGUUUAACCCUCUAAUUAAAACAGAACAUGAAUAAGAAAUAUAAGGCAGAAAUAUAAUUUCACACAAUCAAAUUUUGCUGUUUUUUUUUCAAAACCUCACCUACAUGUAAUCCUAACAUAUCUUUAAUUAUAAAAAAAAAAUUUUAAAAAAUAAAAAAACUUCCCACUCCCAUUCUCUAUCACUCUCUUCCUUUCUCUUUCUAUUUCAAAAACAAAAAUAAAAAAAUUGCUCACACACUUUGUGUGUGUUCAUAUGCUAAUAAUAAUAAUAAUGACAACAACAACAACAACUCUUCUUUCUCUCCUAUGCACUGUCUCUGCUCAACCCAAAUUUGUUGCUCCUCAUUACAACCUUCUGCCACUCUCCCUUACAACUAUCCACACGGACGCGCCUCAUUAGAACAAAAGCCAUCAUUCCAGGUUUGUUGAAAUUCAUCAACUAACGUUUGAUUAAUUGUGUGGUUUUUUUUUGUUAAUGGAUUGUAAUAUUUUGUCACAGCCCGUCCCGUGAUUCUUUUUAUCGAGGUUGUGAAAUGACGAAAUUAUCCUUGACGGGUGCUAAGGUAGGUGUGCGACAUAUUAUUGAACAAUGCAUUUUCCCUAAGUUUUGACAGGUGCUAAGGUAGCUGUGUGACAUAUUAUUGAACAAUGCAUUUUCCCUAAGUUUUGGAAAGUUUGAAUUUUGAUUAAAGGUUGUAUGUGUUUUGUGUGGUUAGGGAAAUAAGUUGGACUUGUUUUGGGAUGGACCGCACACGCACACGCGGGAUACCCUUACCCCGUGCUCUCUCUCUCUCCUCCUUCUCUGUCACUCUCACUCUCUCCCUCUCGAAACUGUACGGACCGACCCAAAAACCCUUGAAACUUCAUGGAUCGAAGUGGAGAUUAGCACCAUUGUGUUCGUGAGUGCCCUACGAACUCAAAGGUACCAUUUUCAGGUAAGAAACCCUUCGUUUUCAUGUUGAAAACUUAAGGUCCGAAUUGAGUACUAUUCAUGAACUUUGUAAUGGUUGGUUUUUAGGACAAUCCAAGCUCAUAGUGAGCUCUAGGAAGUUCCCACGAAGCUCGGGGACGUUCGUUUGAAAGUUUUGGACGUCGGGACACCCUAGUUCGAAGGUGGCCGGUUUUGGUGAAGUUUCCUGACGUGAUUUUCGAAGGUUUUGAGGCUCCAAAGAGGUAUAGCCUUCUUCCCCUCGUGAUUUAGGACAUUUUGGUGAAAAUUUCAUGGAAAAUGGUUGAGAAAUGACAGAGAACAAGGAGAUUGAAAAAUCUCCAGUUUCCGGCGACCGGAAAAAACAGUCCGGCGACUAGAGGAAGAAGAUGACGCGCGUGGGGUGAGUGGGUCCGUGCCCCUCCCGGCGGGUGGGGGCGCGUGCAGCCUUGAAUUUUUUUUCUAAAAAUAUGUCUGUGGAGCCAAAAAUAUUCACAAGGCGACACGUGGAUUUUUGGAUAAAAGAAGACAAAAAUAUCCUUGAGGCAUACCGGGAUUCCUACGCACGAGCAGCGGGCAAUCAUCCGUUAACCAAGUCAAAAAAUGCCCAAAGAAGGUAACAAAUAAAAGUUAUUUCAUCCAUAUACUCCACAAGGUAACCAUUCCAAACAUUCCAUUUAAAUUAGAUUAAUUGGUGAGUUAAUGGAUUUAUUUCCUAAUUAAUCCAUUAAAUCACCAAUUAAAUGACCCAUUAUGCCAAUUAAUCCCCCAUUACAUAACCCAUUACCCAAAAAAUCCCAAAUGGCCGGCCACCCUAGUUGAUCUCAUCAUAUUCACCUAUUUUAUCACAUUAGUUAGCUAGUUAAUUUAGCAAUAAUUAUUUGCUAAAUUAAUUAGUCAAUUAUUCCCAUAACUCCUAAAUUUAACCUAAAUCAAGAACCCUAUCCCUAUAAAUAGGCUCUCAUUCUCACCAAAAACCUAAUUCCAACACUUUGGCAAAAAUCCCAAAAUUCUCUAAACACUCUUUCUCUCUAAAUUCUAACUUUGGCAUCAGAGGUUCUUCGGCCAAAGCCCCGCCAUUCAUCGUGGGCGCGUGAGGCUCUUGGCUUUAACCUAAGGUGUUAAUUGUUUUGUAGGUGCAAAAUUGUCCAAGAAUAAGGAGGAAGAAAUUUGCAUCCACAAAUUGGUGCUUUCAUUGAGAGUUGAAAUCCAUACUCGUAGAAGACUCUCGCACAAAAAGGUUUUUUCUUUAUUUUCUAGUCCAUUUGAAUAUUUUUCAUACGUUCUUAUUAUUAGAAUUUUUUACUUGCAAAGGUUCUUUGAUAAAACGUAUAAGCAAAAUAUAAUGGCUAGAAAUUUAGAAAAUUCCACAAGUGAAAUUUCUAAUGUUCAAGAAAUGGGAUUGCGGAGAUCCGUGAGGCUAAAUGCGACAAUAAGUGGAGCAGCACCACCACCACGAGUUUCCACCAUGGGAACCACCACGGUGGCUACCUCGGUAGCCACCUAUGGCGAGGUCCAUGGUGCCUUCACCACGGCUCGAGCCGUGCCAUCCAAGGCUCACGACACCAAGGCCACGGCCCAAGUCGUGCCAUCCAAGUUUGCACGGGCCCAGGCCCAAGCCUCGCAUUCGCUUGCAUCACAUUCUAAGCAGCCUGCUCCCGCCAGGUUGCCUGCUUCCGCCAAGCAACCUGCUUUCCCAGCCCAGCCUGCUCCUGCCAAGCAGCUUGCUCUCGUGACCCAGCCUGCUCCCGACGAGCAGCCCACUCCCGUGGCCCAGCCUGCUCCCGCCAAGCAACCUGCUCUCGCGGCCUAGCCUGCUCCUGCCAAGCAGCCUGCUCUCGUGACCCCUGCCUAGCCUGGAGCAGCAGUUUUACCCCAUUGCAUUGUCAAGUGGACUCUCUUCCAAUAGCCAUGUCAUCUCCUCCCGUCCAAAAACCUAAAUGCCAAUACGUGGCAAGGGACUUGCUAAAUAGCUUCAGCUGCAAUUCACAAGUCCUUGCACACUUUCCAAGGCAAAGCCAACCACUAAAUCCGUGCCCACUCCUUCAUAAAACACUCUCAAAUAUCCAAACUAAUGUGGCAUUUUCUAUCAGGCACAAGUGGGUUUUGACAGGCAAAGCAAUUAAGCAUCCGGCCAGCAUGGCAGUGAAAAAACAUUCCGACUAGCGCGACGGCAGACAAUCAUAGGAAACCUCUCUGCUUUUUUGGAAAGCUCAAAGAAAUUUAAUUGCGGUGAAGCUGAUGUGUUUUCCAAGUCGAUAAUUUAGGAAAUAAGGGAUCAUUGCAUUCAAUUCAAGCACCCCAAGAGAGAGAACCGAACUCAACGUCCACUCGGGAAACCUCGACCUCUUCGAAGGGGAGCUAUCCCUUCACCUCUAGUCCCCCUUUGAAGGAUUUUUCAUUUCCCACUCACAGAAAUCUUAAGGAGUCAAAAUCCAACCCUUUGAUAAUUCACCCAAUCGAAGUGCAAAAUUUGAGAUUAGUCAAUUUGAACCUACAACAAGUGGACGAGUUCAAGCAACUUAAAAUCGGAAACCCGGUGUCUUUCCAACUUUUGAGGGCAUCCGGGAUUUGUAGAUUUCAAGGGCCUUUUGAUAGUUGAUCAGUGGUUAGGAAACCAGGGCGCAAGGCUUCAUUGACCAGCCCUAGGAAGCCACGAUCAUGCCGAGGAACGCGCUGGAGAGCAUGUCUAGAGGGUCAGGCUCUAGCGGCCCAUUAAGCGUUCCAUCACUCUGUUAUAAUGACGACUGAGCUACCUCACAGAAAGCUUUGGAUUCAUUCAGCAAAGCAAGCAACCCACAAUGAGCAAGUAUUCCGCUGAAUCCACCCGACUUGUAGGCGCCAUGGAGACAAUGAAGCCUGUCCGCCAAUCCUUAGUUCCACAACCCACGCAGACCUGACAGUCCUGCAGAAGUUCAACCUGCCCACCAAGCAGCUGUCUCUGCACAUUGCCAAAUGUUCAAAGCAACCUAACUUGGCUGAGCAGCCACGACAUGGCUUGUUCAGCGGUGGCGUCAAGAAUUCACAGCUAUCAAGUGGCCCUAAAGGUCCAGUUAAAGCAUCUUCCCUGCCUGAAGGACAAAUAACCAACAAAAAGGAGCACUUUUAAGAGAUUUCCCAAAACUUAUCUUGAACGUUUCCUCCAAACAAUUGAAAAACAUGUCCAAACACCUUAUUGCAAUGAACAAUUCCGCAACAGGGACAAUGCAUCUCAAUGAAACAAGAUCCAAACGACGACACUGAUUCGAAGGAUAACUGCAGGCGACAAAUUCCUUAAUCCAAUUCGAGACCUUUCGAUUGCCUAGGACUCACCAAAAGGGCGUUCAGCCCUUGUUCAGCAUCGCAGCACAUUUUCACAUCUUUCAAGGGGAAAAAACCCGGAGAGCACCCCGCUCCGAACCGCAAUGAUCCUUUAUCGAAACAACGAUGAUCUCAUGUGCAAGAUAUUCGCCAGCACUCUACAAGGCGAGGCACAAGAUUGGUUCUACACCCUGCCGCCACAAUCCAUCUGGAAUUUCUACGAACUUUCUUUGGUUUUCACCAAAGAAUAUUCAUCUUAUCGUUCGAUCAAAAAGAAGUCUGACCAUUUGUUCAACGUCAAGAAGAACCCAAAGGAGUCGCUUCGCGACUAUGUAAGGAGGUUCAAAGUAGAGAAGGCAAAAAUAGUCGGAUGCAACGACUCGAUAGCUAGAGCAGCCUUCCAAAAAGGACUUCCAGCAGACCACCCGCUAUUCGGAAAAUUGAUCAUGAAAGAAGAUCUAACUCUGGCAGACUCUUUUACUUUGGCAGAGAAGCAUGCAUUUUGGGAUGAGGCUCGCCAAUGCACAUUCAAGGACUUGAAGAAGUACCCAACAUCACCUCCCUAGAAGCAGUGGAUAACUUAUUCGCACGUUUGACGGUAUCUAAAGUAACAAUAAGCUCUACCAUCAUGCGAGAAGAGCUGGGGGCCCGACCACCUGUAUUCUACAGUUCAAAAGCUCUCCUCGAUGCUAUUAAAAAUUCAAAAGUUAACUUUGGCGAUAAUUGUUGUAACCCAAAAGCUUAAGUUUUACCUUCAAACGCAAGCAGUCAUCAUCAUGAUGCAGUAUUCCGCUGAAUCCAAACCGGCGACGAUAAAGGCAUAGACCCCGGCGGAUGUAAAGUUUUCUGACGAACGCAACACUGGAAGGACACACUCAGAAGCAAGUUUUUUCCUCGUCACCCUAAAAGAUUCUGCAUAGGAGCAACAUGUACCGGCUAUUGAGUACCACUUCUUGCUGCGCACCACACGGCCCUAGCCGACUCUUGCUCAAUGAUUCAACUCUAGAGUGGCCCAAUACCAGUAGUUGAGCAUCUCCUGCUGCGUAUGACAUGGCCCCAUCUCCACAGCUCCCUACUGCGCCUUUACGCCGAGCCUAGGUGACGCAACAGAGCGGCCCAACGAUGCCUCAGAAGUAGCCGGACACAUUUUAGCCGCGCCUACUCCACCCGAUGGAGACUUCUGGCAUUUGCAUGUCGACGGCACAGAAAAGCCAUCAUCACUGCCUGCAGAGAAGGAUCCAAAAAGACGAAUCUCAUCUGGGAAGGUCUGUACAAGAUCAGCAGAGUAGGCGGCAAGAGUAAUUACACCAUCGCCACCAUGAAACGGUAAAAAGAUCGAAAAACAGUGGAUGGCCUACAAUCUGAAGAAGUACCAUGUGUGACCUCCCGCUACAUCAAAACUUAAGAAGCUCGACGGGCACCACCUCACAAGCUGAGGACUAUCCAGUUGUUAUGCAAUUCCUACCUUACAGCUAAAGUUCUCGUUCGUUUCACUCGUUUUUCAAUGAGGAAUUUAGAAGUAAUCACAACUUGGCUUGGCUGCAUGCUUACAACAACUAAUCACUCAUGCACUUCAAAAGAAGACUGCGCCCUUCUUAGGGACUCAUCACAGGAAUUGCGCCCCCCGAGGGACUAACCAUGCUCUCCAGUGCGAGAGGGUAAACCAAUUCCCCGACACCCAUAUGGGUUAGCUCUCCAAGAUGGAAGGAUAAACUUUACACUCCGAAUAUCCAGACGUGGAUGAGCCUGACUGCCCUAGUAUAACUAGAUGCACGAUGGCUUACGCCGGGAUUCCUAGAAGUAGCCACAAUGGUCUUUUUCAAGGCUUAGCUAACUGAAGGAUUUUGGGUCUCUUGGCCUAAUCUGUGGGAAACCGGGCCCUAGAUAUGGAGGGGGCACAUUAUGCAGUACGCCUUAUAAACGGCUGCCCUGGAACCCUAAAGCUGCUACGAGUGCACUAAGGUAGCCUACGGAUUCCGGAAGACUGCCUACAGCUUGCCUUUCGAGCAGUAAAGCCGCACUAGACUUAUACAGCCGCACAUUCUUGUGAAAGGUUAAACAAGCUAGCACGCAUAUACGAAGUUUUAUCCACUGCCGACAUGCUACGUAGUCGAUAAGCUUCACUUCUGCCAAGCGCGGAACAACCUACACCAAGUCCUAAAGUGUUGUGGUACUUGCUACACAAUCUAUGGAAUUGGAGAAAGUCAAGUUAACAGCCUAGUGGUUACGCGGACUUAUCUGCUUCUGUAAGUAAGGCAUCCGGCUGCCAACCCUAUGGCUAACAACUUUGCAAAGUUCUACACCAACACCUACGGCUGCAUAGGCUACGCGGGCUUGUCUGCUUAUAAAAAAGUAGCAUGCCUGCUACUGGUCUAUCAAGAAUAAAGGUUAGGGCAUGAACAAAAGAAGCGAAGAUGAAGAAAAGUGAAGGAAAACAUGUUUAUAAACAAUUAGCAAAGGCCGAAGGAGUUCAAGCAAAACAAGAGCUACAAGGAAAAACAAAUAAAAUCCUAAAGGCUACCUAGAAGACUAUAGCAGCUUGGACAUCCCACAACUACUCGGUCGCCACACCUUCAGUAGCCGCGAUACUCUUAGCAGCGGUAUCAUCCGGCGUUUCACCCCUGGUUGCCCCAGCUUGGGUACUAACUUCUCCAACUACUUCACCAAUGGAAGCCUCAAAAGUAAAAUCAAGCAAGUCUUCCGGAGAAAUAGAGAAGGUCUCGAAACCCGAGCCCAGCCUUUUCACCUUUCAACUGCUCAUCCUCAUCGAGCAGACCAACAUGGAUGCUCUACAGCUCAUCCACUUUCUUCUUCAGACUUUCGUUGAUCUUCAGUACACCUUGAAGUUCCAACACUUGGGGUUCAAGCCUAUCGAUGAUUCUCUUGAAGUAGAUCACUUGGUUAUAAGCAGCAAUCAACUCUUCAUCCUUUGCAGCAGAACGAAGCUAAAAAAUGACAUGCUUAAGAUCUUGAAUCUAAGGUAUGUGACAUCCGAUCUCCUUCUCUGCACUUUCAUGCUUAACUUGGAUCGCGUCAAACCUAGUCUUCAAGUCAACGAUCUCUUGGCGAGCGGUCUCAAGCUGCAAAAAAGUGGGGGCAGAAAUAUUAGACCCUUUUAAAGCAACAAGCUCAGAAUCUGCCAUAGUAUUUGCCAUCUCCUUAGCAGCCUUGCUAUAUCUGCAUCAUAGCAAGCAGAGCAGUUCCUCUAUAUUGGGUCGUAUGCUUUGCAAAUGAGCUUGGGCAAAUAACCUUUCUGACGCCAUCAACAAACUUGGCACAAACGUCCAUGUUUUCAAGAGAUCUGGUUUCAAAAGCACAUAGAUCUCAGCAGCUUCCCCAGAAGCAGGCUUAGUGGAUUUCUCACAUCUGCCUACGCGAGCAGUCUCCUCAUUCCCAGCAGACGAAUUAGUCUCAGCAGCAUAAGGAAUGGGCCUUGGCACCACUUUAGCAGCAGAGUCCACCUUAUAAUAGCAAGCCUCUCUAAAGGUGAAUCAGACUUAGCUCCCAACAGACGUCUUGGUACAAAAUUCGGCACUAGGGGCAUGAUAGGACCUUUAUGCCGAACAAUCCUAUCAGCAAUCAUACUAGCCAUUCUUGACAUGACAGGCGCCACAUGCUCAGAUCUAGCAGCCUCAUUUUUUGUCCCCUUGGAAAAAGUUAAGUCAAUCACAAACCUGAAGGCAGUCGGCGAACCUGCGCGAGCAGCGAAAUAAGUCUUUGGUUUUUUCUCAGCCGGCAUCUCUUGAGCAGGCAGGGAAGAUCCAUUUUCCCACCUUCACUUGCAACAGGAUCCACAACAGUGAUUGGACGAGCCAAUGCAUCCGCCUUGAUCCUAUUCACCUCAUCUUUUGGGAGCAACCCACGUUUCUCCUGAUGAAGAGAGUUAAAGUAGCCAACAUCAUUCGUGGUACCUAGCAGGGGAGUUUCAACCCAACAUUCCACAAGCUCAUGAGGCCCGCAACCUCUUCAUUUCUCUCAAUUACCGGCCUAGCUCGCGUCGUGUCUAAAAGCCUAAAAGGACAUGAGCCAUGUGACUCGCCUAGUACUGCGCCCCAUCGUCACAAUCCGCGGCCCCAGCCUCACAAGCUGCUCUUGAUUCUAGCCAAGUCGAGCAGCUUAAAGCAGUGGUCCCUGCCACAAUACCUCAUCGGCCCACGCCGAGCCGACUCCUGGCCCAUGCUAGCCGACGUGCCACACCACCCCGACGGUUGCCCCGUGGUAACACCAUCCAAGAAGAAGACAAGGAAAAUUAAUUUUUUCUUACCUCAUUGCGGCACGAAGAAGACAAAGAGAGCAAUGAAAGACGGUCCUUUGCACGGGCAAGAUGUAGAAGAUUGCUAGAGGAGGGGGAACAAAUAUCCUCUAAGCUAUCUCUCUCUUGUAGGGUAGAAUAAAUCGCUCUCCAAAGUUGAUUUAAUAACCCAUUAAGGUGGACUUAAAUAGGCUUUGAGAGAAAUUUAUUUCCCUUUUCUAGAAGGACCUAAUUUCCUAUUAAAGAGAGAAUCUACAUCAAAAUAGGAAGCAGUCCUACGUUUCCUAAAGCAAGAUGAUCUCUACACCUGCUGCCCUUUUCUGCGAGCAGCCCAACAGGUGUGGGGGCAUUUGUGGAGCCAAAAAUAUUCACAAGGCGACACGUGGAUUUUUGGAUAAAAGAAGACAAAAAUAUCCUUGAGGCAUACCGGGAUUCCUACGCACGAGCAGCGGGCAAUCAUCCGUUAACCAAGUCAAAAAUGCCUAAAGAAGGUAACAAAUAAAAGUUAUUUCAUCCAUAUACUCCACAAGGUAACCAUUCCAAACAUUCCAUUUAAAUUAGAUUAAUUGGUGAGUUAAUGGAUUUAUUUCCUAAUUAAUCCAUUAAAUCACCAAUUAAAUGACCCAUUAUGCCAAUUAAUCCCCCAUUACAUAACCCAUUACCCAAAAAAUCCCAAAUGGCCGGCCACCCUAGUUGAUCUCAUCAUAUUCACCUAUUUUAUCACAUUAGUUAGCUAGUUAAUUUAGCAAUAAUUUUAUUUGCUAAAUUAAUUAGUCAAUUAUUCCCAUAACUCCUAAAUUUAACCUAAAUCAAGAACCCUAUCCCUAUAAAUAGGCUCUCAUUCUCACCAAAAACCUAAUUCCAACACUUUGGCAAAAAUCCCAAAAUUCAACACUCUUUCUCUCUAAAUUCUAACUUUGGCAUCGGAGGUUCUUCGGCCAAAGCCCCCCCCAUUCAUCGUGGGCGCGUGAGGCUCUUGGCCUUAACCUAAGGUGUUAAUUGUUUUGUAGGUGCAAAAUUGUCCAAGAACAAGGAGGAAGAAAUUUGCAUCCACAAUGCCAACGUCCGUGACGUCGAGUAGGUCACUGUGGUAUAUUCAUAUACCCAAAUUGAGCACCGUAUGAGAAGUUAUUACGAAUUGUCGGUUAUGUGCUUUAAUUAAUGUUUUUAUAGUUGUUUCGCAUAUAGGUGAUACCUAUCCCGAGGACAAGCGCAUCCAGGGACGUCACGGGGGUUACGACCCUUCGACUUACCAGUGAGUGGGUAGUAUUUUUUGUAUUUACCUAUAUACUAUCGAUUUUCCCAGAAAUUGAAUUUAAAUGAAAGUAUGUUUUAAAAUGCCAUGCAUACAUAUACAUGAAAUAUAUGAAUUGAUAAUUGAUGCAUAUAUAUAUGUGAAUUGGUGCUGUGGACGCAUAGGUGAGUAUCAGGUGAGUUUUAUGUUAUUCAUGUGAAUCAUUGAUGAUGUGAAUUGUGUUGAGAGCUCAUAACCUGCACCCCUGGUGUUAGUGCUUAUAUUAUUCACCCGCACCGCACGCUCACCUUGGAUCCAAGUAGGUACAUGUCGUACAGACCAUGAGAAGGUUCCGACAUGCUAGUCGUACAGAUCACUAGAGGUGGUUCCGACUGGUAGGCGACCUUAGAUUAUGUGCACAUGUGAUUGAUAAGAGAAGCACUAGAGCGUAUUAUUACAUCAUUCUUGUCGUAUAGACUACUUCAGGUAGUUCCGACUUAUGUGCAGAGUAGUGCCGUACAGGUCACUGUGGUGACUCCGGUUGGUUUGGAUAUUGAGCUAUGGAAUUAACCGUACAGGACCAACUGUAGGGUCUCCGGUUGAUUCAUUAUGUCAUCUGUUAUAUUGAUGCAUUCUUAAUCUGUUAUUGACAUUUAUGGCAUGGCAUAUUUUCUGGGUUUUGAUAAAGAAUUGUGAUUUGAGAUAUACGAAGAUUAUAUGCAUAUUAUGUUAUUUUCUGGGAAAAUAUACAGGUUUUAUAGCAAGGGGUUAGAAAUAUUUUAAAUGAAAUGUUUUUGAAAAACUUUGGUUUUACUGACCCACUCAAUUUUGUUUUGCGCCCCUCCAGGUUCUAGUUAGCAGCGUUGGUGGCCCGCGAGGAUUCCCACGGCGUACUGACAGACUACAUAAAUGUAGGACUCACCUGCGGGUGUUGUAAUUUAGUUAUGGUCCUACUUGACUGCACCUAGUACUUAUGCUUUGAAUUUGUGUGUUUCACACUUAAACUUACUCUAGCACGUUACUUGGUUAUUAUUGCUAGUAUUUGGUUUUUGUUUAUUCGUAUUUCUCUUAUCUAUUGCUUCCGCCUCGCACUUUUGGUUACGUCACGCCCACGUGACGGCCAGCACGCCUUGAUUCUAGGAUCGGGGUGUGUCAUAU
RNAcentral lists this long non-coding RNA (11830 nucleotides) under Malus domestica (apple). Its description in RNAcentral is "long non-coding RNA (MDOM_LNC005483)". Lineage: Eukaryota; Viridiplantae; Streptophyta; Magnoliopsida; Rosales; Rosaceae. The record is from RNAcentral.